Molecule: ribosomal RNA, 1176 nt
Filed under: Triticum aestivum (bread wheat)
Lineage: Eukaryota; Viridiplantae; Streptophyta; Magnoliopsida; Poales; Poaceae
Description: partial small subunit ribosomal RNA
Source: RNAcentral
AUGUGGUGUUCACAUGAGGACUAUGAAUAUAUUGCUAAGGGUGCAUGGAAGAGGAACAAUGUUCAGAAUGAUUUGAAUGGUAUUGCAUCCACCUUACGGAGAGUUCAGAAUGAUUUGCAACACUGGAGUUAUAAUAAAUUUGGUUCAGUCCGUAAAAGUAUCAAGGUGAUUCGGGGAAAAUUGGAGGAGCUUCGUUCUGUAUCUUCCUACCGAGGACCAACAGUGGAGGAGCAUAACCUUAUCCGUCAGCUAAAUAAUAUGUUAAGCCGUGAGGAAACAAUGAUGAGGCAACGGUCUAGGGUGCAAUGGCUUCGAGAUGGAGACGGAAAUACUGCAUUUUUUCAUGCCAAAGCAAAAGAACGCAGCCGCCAAAACCAUAUUGGUUCUCUAACUAAAGAAGAUGGUUCUCUCACUACUAAUCAAUCUGAACUUAAGGCAAUUGCUGAGGAUUUCUUUGCUCAACUUUUCCAAGCUCAAGAGGAACUGAACCCAUCACUAGUCACUUGUUUUGUUCAGAAGAAAGUGACUACUGCCAUGAACUUGAUCCUGGAUGCACCAUUUACAGAGGAUGAAAUCUCAAAAGCUCUAUUUAGUAUGGGACCAAAUAAGAGCCCGGGUGUAGAUGGAUUCACGGCCGGAUUUUUUCAAAAACAUUGGGAUCUAGUCAAAGAUGACGUGGUACCAGCUGUGUUAGAUUUCUUGAAUGGUGGAGUGAUGCCCGAAGAUAUUAAUAAAAUUGUACUGGUUCUUAUUCCCAAAGUUAAACACCCGCAAUUUCUGUCACAGUAUCGCCCUAUUUCUUUAUGCAAUGUUUUAUAUAAAAUCUGCUCAAAAGUGCUCGCUAAUCGCUUGAGAAUAAUUAUUGAUGAUAUUAUUGGGGAAGAACAGAGUGCCUUCAUACCAGGAAGACUCAUAGCUGAUAAUGUUCUAACGGCAUAUGAAUGUAUUCACUACCUUAAAAGGAAGAAAGGAAAGAUCGGUGGAUGUGUUAUCAAAAUUGAUAUGGCCAAGGCCUAUGACCGCGUAGAAUGGCAAUAUCUUCAAGAAAUAAUGCUUGCGCUGGGUUUUAGUGAAGCUUGGACACAACGAAUAAUGGAAUGUGUACGUAUGGUCUCUUUUUCCGUGCGUGUGAAUGGGGAAUAUUCAAGUUUCUUCAAGCCAUCCAAAGGACUUUGA